This 305-nucleotide ribosomal RNA is filed under the name uncultured bacterium. RNAcentral describes it as "bacterial SSU rRNA". It matches the Rfam family "Bacterial small subunit ribosomal RNA", at positions 333 to 653 of the family's 1533-position model. The record is from RNAcentral.
UCUUUCCUACGGGGGGCAGCAGUGGGGAAUAUUGGGCAAUGGACGCAAGUCUGACCCAGCAACGCCGCGUGAAGGAAGAAGGCUUUCGGGUUGUAAACUUCUUUUAAGGGGGAAGAGUAGAAGACGGUACCCCUUGAAUAAGACACGGCUAACUACGUGCCAGCAGCCGCGGUAAUACGUAGGUGGCAAGCGUUGUCCGGAUUUACUGGGUGUAAAGGGCGUGCAGCCGGAGAGACAAGUCAGAUGUGAAAUCCACGGGCUCAACCCGUGACCUGCAUUUAAAACUUUUUCCCUUGAGUGUCGGG